This 74-nucleotide transfer RNA is filed under the name Methanobacteriota archaeon. RNAcentral describes it as "Euryarchaeota archaeon (marine metagenome) tRNA-His". It matches the Rfam family "tRNA". Rfam says of the family: Transfer RNA (tRNA) molecules are approximately 80 nucleotides in length. Their secondary structure includes four short double-helical elements and three loops (D, anti-codon, and T loops). Further hydrogen bonds mediate the characteristic L-shaped molecular structure. tRNAs have two regions of fundamental functional importance: the anti-codon, which is responsible for specific mRNA codon recognition, and the 3' end, to which the tRNAs corresponding amino acid is attached (by aminoacyl-tRNA synthetases). tRNAs cope with the degeneracy of the genetic code in two manners: having more than one tRNA (with a specific anti-codon) for a particular amino acid; and 'wobble' base-pairing, i.e. permitting non-standard base-pairing at the 3rd anti-codon position. RNAcentral also lists the same sequence under 1 other name. Lineage: Archaea; Methanobacteriati; Methanobacteriota. The record is from RNAcentral.
GCCACGGUAGUGUAGCAUGGUUAGCACUAGGGACUGUGGAUCCCUUAGCCCGAGUUCAAAUCUCGGCCGUGGCC